UCCCUGGUGGCUCAAACGGUAAAGAAUCUGCAUGCAAUGCAGGAGACCCAGGUUUGAUCCCUGGGUUGGGAA
This is a transfer RNA of Ovis aries (sheep), 72 nucleotides long. It matches the Rfam family "tRNA". Rfam says of the family: Transfer RNA (tRNA) molecules are approximately 80 nucleotides in length. The record is from Rfam. NCBI's taxonomy places the organism in Eukaryota, Metazoa, Chordata, Mammalia, Artiodactyla, Bovidae.